UACGUAGGUGGCAAGCGUUGUCCGGAAUUACUGGGUGUAAAGGGCGUGUAGACGGGGAUGCAAGUCAGAUGUGAAAUUCCAGGGCUCAACUCUGGCGCUGCAUCUGAAACUGUGUCUCUUGAGUGCUGGAGAGGAAAGCGGAAUUCCUAGUGUAGCGGUGAAAUGCGUAGAUAUUAGGAGGAACACCAGUGGCGAAGGCGGCUUUCUGGACAGUAACUGACGUUGAGGCGCGAAAGCGUGGGGAGCAAACAGG
This 253-nucleotide ribosomal RNA is filed under the name uncultured bacterium. RNAcentral's name for it is "partial 16S ribosomal RNA". It matches the Rfam family "Bacterial small subunit ribosomal RNA", at positions 524 to 776 of the family's 1533-position model. The record is from RNAcentral.